UGACCUCAAAUCAGGUAGGACUACCCGCUGAACUUAAGCAUAUCAAUAAGCGGAGGAAAAGAAACUAACAAGGAUUCCCCUAGUAACUGCGAGUGAAGCGGGAAAAAGCUCAAAUUUAAAAUCUGGCGGUCUCUGGCUGUCCGA
RNAcentral lists this ribosomal RNA (144 nucleotides) under Leucocoprinus leucothites. Its description in RNAcentral is "Leucoagaricus leucothites partial 28S ribosomal RNA". It matches the Rfam family "Eukaryotic large subunit ribosomal RNA", at positions 1 to 141 of the family's 3401-position model. Lineage: Eukaryota; Fungi; Basidiomycota; Agaricomycetes; Agaricales; Agaricaceae. The record is from RNAcentral.